This 342-nucleotide ribosomal RNA is filed under the name Triticum aestivum (bread wheat). Its description in RNAcentral is "partial small subunit ribosomal RNA". The record is from RNAcentral. Lineage: Eukaryota; Viridiplantae; Streptophyta; Magnoliopsida; Poales; Poaceae.
AUGAAAUUUGCUGCCAAAGCACUCUCCAAUGCACAGACACCUUGGCUAGAGUGGCUUGAUCUCCAACACCCUAACACACUUGUCUCCUCAUCCCCUCAAACCUCUUUUCUGUGCCGCACAAUUUCACAGCAAAUCCCUACCCUACAGAAUAUCACGUUCGUGCUAACAAACAAUGGCUCACAUACUUACUUCUUGCUAGACACUUGGCUGGCUCCACAACCCCUUGCCAUCACCUUCCCCCACCUAUUUUCACACUCUACCUUAGUGCUGGCUAAAGUGGAUAACAUUUUGCGUUUGGGUAUCCAAGCUAAACUCCGUAAUCGUCUCUCCCUCACGGCAUAA